Molecule: long non-coding RNA, 2113 nt
Organism: Rattus norvegicus (Norway rat)
Lineage: Eukaryota; Metazoa; Chordata; Mammalia; Rodentia; Muridae
Source: RefSeq, a predicted model, not a curated record
ACAUUACGAACAUCUGCAAAGUAAACUGCCAAACUGCCACGCACAACAUAACAUACAUGGGAGAAACCCCUAGCUUUGACUCCAGGCACAAGAUGCCACUAUCUUCCAGUAGGCCACUAAGGGAACCCAGUGUUAAAGCAGUACCACGGGGCUUCAUCUGCAGUCCAGGAUACCCUCUCCCCGUGAAGAGAAAACAUCUGGGUCAUGAAGAGCCUUCGUUCAAUCCCCAGGACUCAUGUCAGGGAUCUCACAACAGUUGCCUGUAACUCCACCUCCAAGAGACUGGCUGACUCUGGCCUCUGCAGAUGACAACAUGAUUAUGCAAGGAAUCAGGAUGUACCUCUAAGGAGGGCUAAAGUUAUCUCUGGAAGACCUGUUACCUGGAGAACAGCACCUCAAAGGCUCUGGAAGAAAUACUUUCUUUGAAAUAAAACAUUUUAACUUCAAACACAAAAUAUGAAAGAAUGUCUUCAAAAAAAACUGCCAACUUCAUCUAAGCUUUGAGAUUCAGUUUUCACACAAGACAGCAAAGGGCUUCAAUUACACACUCCAAGGCUUGCAGGGGAGAGGCUGGGACCAAGAUGCUGUUUGGAAGUUAUAAUGGCAGAGGCAGGAGCUGACAAGGCUGGAUCACUUAACACUGACAAGCAACACCACUCCUGUGUGUGAUGGGCCAAGCCGCAGGCUAGCUGCUGAACCAGAAAGGUGUCCUGUGGAGUUGACACUGUGACAACAGAGAAGCUCAGAUGAGAUGUCCACAGGUGACUGCAGGAUGUGACAUUCUUGAUCUCAGGUGGAUCUGAAAUGAGCAAGUGCACUGUGCAAAGACAAGGCUGCUUCCUUGUAGUGUGCAUGGAAUCCAGGCUUCUGUUGAAUACUUGUGGUCUGUGCCUCCUGCAGCUCAGGGCUUCUGCCACUGCAACACACUGCUUCUGCUUCUUCCUACUGUGUGCUUAUGCUAAGAAUAUGUUUUUUGUCUUUUUGAUAGCUAAUAGUUAAAAUGGAGCAGAGAAUAUUGGCCCUUUGUUGUAGAAAGGUGCUUUGCCAAUAGUUCGUCUCUCAGCGCUCUAAAACUCUGGUGAGGACAGAAAUAUACAGCACUGCCACGCCACAAUGGCAGAAAUGAAUUUUCCAAUGUAUCCUGCUUCCUUCAAUUACAGGAUUAAUUCCAAGGAAAAACAAAUGUACCUUCAAAGUAUCAGUCUGAGAGGGUAAAAAGGGAAAUCAAUUGAAGUCAGAAAGUCUGGGCUCUGCAGCUUAUUGAUAAAUCCUCAGACCUCUUCCCUGUGCUUGACUUUCCCAACUAUUAAGAACAGCUUCAGAGAGACUAACUAUUGGUAAAGCAUCUUUCUACCUUUCUACAACAAUUGGCCAACAUUCUAUGCUCCAUUUUAAAUAUUAGCUAUGGAAAAAACAAAAAAAAUUCUUAGAAUAAGCUGAAGUGAUGCAUAAAUAUAGCAAGAAAAAAAGGAAUGAAACUUUAUUUAAAAAAAAAACACCACCAUUUAUCACUGAGAGAGAAAAAGAGAGACAGAGGGAGAGGAAGAGGGAGAGGGAGAGGAAGAGGGACAGGGACAGGGACAGGGAGAAGGACAGGGACAGGGACAGGGAGAUGGAGAGGGACAGAGAGAGGGACAGGGACAGGGAGAGUGAGUGUAUGCAGUGUCUGUCUGUGCAUGUAUGUGCAUGUGUCCCCGUGUAUGUGUGGAGGCUGGAGGUUGAUGCUGGGUGUCUUGCAUUUUGAAGCAGGGUCUCUGGGAAGCUGUACCUCAGCACCUGGCUGUCCUGGCUUGCCCAGGAGCUCAGGAGCCGCCCUGUGUCCACCAGCCCCACUGCACAGUACUGAAGCAAUGGACCACACCUGGCUUUGGUGCUGUCACUGGGAAAGAACUCAGGUUCCCAUGCCUGUGUUGCAGGCACCUGACUAAAUAAACUGUCCUCUAAGAAUAUAUUUUUGAAACUCCAAAAGGAAAAAAAAAAUGCUUCAAAAUUCCCUCAGAACCUACAGACAUAAUGUCUUGCCAAUUACAGAGCAUCGAAAGUAAAGACCUGUAAUUUUCCCAUUUUGAAACAAACACAGUAUCUGAAUACAAUAAACAAGUGUACAAAAUCA